Molecule: ribosomal RNA, 497 nt
Filed under: uncultured bacterium
Lineage: Bacteria
Description: partial 16S ribosomal RNA
Rfam family: Bacterial small subunit ribosomal RNA
Source: RNAcentral
GAUGAACGCUGGCGGCGUGCCUAAUACAUGCAAGUCGAGCGAACGGACGAGAAGCUUGCUUCUCUGAUGUUAGCGGCGGACGGGUGAGUAACACGUGGAUAACCUACCCAUAAGACUGGGAUAACUUCGGGAAACCGGAGCUAAUACCGGAUAAUAUUUUGAACCGCAUGGUUCAAAAGUAAAAGACGGUCUUGCUGUCACUUAUAGAUGGAUCCGCGCUGCAUUAGCUAGUUGGUAAGGUAACGGCUUACCAAGGCAACGAUGCAUAGCCGACCUGAGAGGGUGAUCGGCCACACUGGAACUGAGACACGGUCCAGACUCCUACGGGAGGCAGCAGUAGGGAAUCUUCCGCAAUGGGCGAAAGCCUGACGGAGCAACGCCGCGUGAGUGAUGAAGGUCUUCGGAUCGUAAAACUCUGUUAUUAGGGAAGAACAUAUGUGUAAGUAACUGUGCACAUCUUGACGGUACCUAAUCAGAAAGCCACGGCUAACUACGUG